Molecule: ribosomal RNA, 463 nt
Filed under: uncultured bacterium
Lineage: Bacteria
Description: bacterial SSU rRNA
Rfam family: Bacterial small subunit ribosomal RNA
Source: RNAcentral
CCAGACUCCUACGGGAGGCAGCAGUGAGGAAUAUUGGUCAAUGGCCGAGAGGCUGAACCAGCCAAGUCGCGUGAGGGAAGACGGCCCUACGGGUUGUAAACCUCUUUUGUCGGGGAGCAAAGCGAACCACGUGUGGUUCAUUGAGAGUACCCGAAGAAAAAGCAUCGGCUAACUCCGUGCCAGCAGCCGCGGUAAUACGGAGGAUGCGAGCGUUAUCCGGAUUUAUUGGGUUUAAAGGGUGCGUAGGCGGAGUGUCAAGUCAGCGGUAAAAUUUCGGGGCUCAACCCCGUCGUGCCGUUGAAACUGACGCCCUUGAGUGAGUGAGAAGUAAGCGGAAUGCGUGGUGUAGCGGUGAAAUGCAUAGAUAUCACGCAGAACGCCGAUUGCGAAGGCAGCAUACCGGCGCGCAACUGACGCUCAUGCACGAAAGCGUGGGUAUCGAACAGGAUUAGAUACCCGUGUA